UCAGACGAUGCGUCAUGCAUAUCAAUAAGCGGAGGAAAAGAAACUAACUAGGAUUCCCUCAGUAACGGCGAGUGAAGCGGGAAGAGCUCAAAUUUGAAAUCUUCAAGGUUCUACCUUGACGAAUUGUAGUUUAAAGAAGUGUUUUUCUGUUAGGAGUUUUCGGUAAAAGUUCUUUGGAAUAGGACAUCAUAGAGGGUGAGAAUCCCGUAUUUGACCAUUAUUUCCAGCUUUGUGAUACACUUUCAAAGAGUCGGAUUGUUUGGGAAUGCAGUCCAAAAUGGGUGGUAAAUUUCAUCUAAAGCUAAAUAUUGGCGAGAGACCGAUAGCGAACAAGUACCGUGAGGGAAAGAUGAAAAGAACUUUGAAAAGAGAGUUAAACAGUACGUGAAAUUGUCAAAAGGGAAGCGUUUGACACCAGUGUUGUUUUCUCGAAAAUCAAUUAAAAAAGGCAGGAUUUUGUGUUGUAUUGACUUUAUCAGCUUUCUGCACUCUUUUCUUGUCUUUUUUUAAUGCACUUUUCGUUUAACAAGUCAACAUCAAUUUCUUUUGUUGUAAAAGGGUCAUUGGAAGGUGGCUUUCUUUUCGGAGAAAGUGUUUAUAGCCUUUGGCCUCUGCAAUCGGAGAGAUUGAGGUCUGCAGCGUAGAUCCUUCGGGGUUAGAUACAUUUGUGCUAAGUUAUAGCCUUUCAUAGACAACUUGUUGACUAUGAUCAGUCAUGUAGCUUACUCGCUUAUGCUAUUUUACCUACGCUUAGGAUGUUGAUCUACAGAGCGAGAGU
Molecule: ribosomal RNA, 778 nt
Filed under: uncultured Neocallimastigales
Lineage: Eukaryota; Fungi; Neocallimastigomycota; Neocallimastigomycetes; Neocallimastigales
Description: partial large subunit ribosomal RNA
Rfam family: Eukaryotic large subunit ribosomal RNA
Source: RNAcentral